GACGAACGCUGGCGGCGUGCUUAACACAUGCAAGUCGAACGGAAAGGCCCUGCUUUUGUGGGGUGCUCGAGUGGCGAACGGGUGAGUAACACGUGAGUAACCUGCCCUUGACUUUGGGAUAACUUCAGGAAACUGGGGCUCAUACCGGAUAGGAUCUCCUGCUCCAUGGUGGGGGUUGGAAAGUUUCGGCGGUUGGGGAUGGACUCGCGGCUUAUCAGCUUGUUGGUGGGGUAGUGGCUUACAAAGGCUUUGACGGGUAGCCGGCCUGAGAGGGUGAACGGCCACAAGGGGACUGAGAUACGGACCAGACGCCUACGGGAGGCAGCAGUGGGGAAUAUUGCACAAUGGGCGGAAGCCUGAUGCAGCAACGCCGCGUGCGUGAUGACGGCCCUCGGGUUGUAAACCUCUGUCGCCUGUGACGAAGCGUGAGUGACGGUAAUGAGUAAAGAAGCAACGGCUAACUACGUG
Molecule: ribosomal RNA, 468 nt
Filed under: uncultured bacterium
Lineage: Bacteria
Description: partial 16S ribosomal RNA
Rfam family: Bacterial small subunit ribosomal RNA
Source: RNAcentral